RNAcentral lists this unclassified non-coding RNA (247 nucleotides) under fungal sp. RNAcentral's name for it is "partial internal transcribed spacer region". The stretch from base 1 to 46 matches the Rfam family "Eukaryotic small subunit ribosomal RNA", at positions 1786 to 1831 of the family's 1831-position model. Lineage: Eukaryota; Fungi. The record is from RNAcentral.
AAGUCGUAACAAGGUUUCCGUAGGUGAACCUGCGGAAGGAUCAUUAUGAAUUGUGUUGUUUUGACUCUUUUUAAAAAAGAGUCUCAACUCCUUUUCUGUGAACUGGAUUCUUUUUGUGCGCUUUGCUCUUAUGAGUGUGAGUGUUGCAAAUCGAAUUGCUUUUAUUUGUUUUCUGUUGUCAUUGUUCUUAAAAAGUUUUCUUUUUUUAAUCAAAAGACAACUUUCAGCAAUGGAUCUCUUGGCUCUU